CAGUCGCCGCGGGAAUACGAAGGGUGCAAGCGUUACUCGGAAUUACUGGGCGUAAAGCGUGCGUAGGUGGUUGUUUAAGUCUGCUGUGAAAGCCCUGGGCUCAACCUGGGAAUUGCAGUGGAUACUGGGCAACUAGAGUAAGGUAGAGGAUAGUGGAAUUUCCGGUGUAGCAGUGAAAUGCGUAGAGAUCGGAAGGAACAUCUGUGGCGAAGGCGACUAUCUGGGCCAUUACUGACACUGAGGCACGAGAGCGUGGGGAGCAAACAGGAUUAGAUACCCCUGUAGUCCCUGUCUCUUAUAC
This 301-nucleotide ribosomal RNA is filed under the name uncultured bacterium. RNAcentral's name for it is "partial 16S ribosomal RNA". It matches the Rfam family "Bacterial small subunit ribosomal RNA", at positions 509 to 807 of the family's 1533-position model. The record is from RNAcentral.